AUGGUGUGACCCCAGGGCUACAGAACAAAUCAAGCAUAUUCUUGCUAAUUUCAAAAACUACCAGUUCUUUAUUGGUGAAAUGAAUCCCGAUGGCAUGGUUGCUCUACUGGACUACCGUGAGGAUGGUGUGAGCCCAUAUAUGAUUUUCUUUAAGGAUGGUUUAGAAAUGGAAAAAUGUUAACAAAUUUGGCAAUUACUUUGGAUAUAUCACCUGUCAUCAUAAUUGACUACUGCUUGUCAU
This is a long non-coding RNA of Tupaia belangeri chinensis (Chinese tree shrew), 241 nucleotides long. RefSeq lists it as uncharacterized. The record is from RefSeq and is a predicted model, not a curated record. The transcript has 3 exons. NCBI's taxonomy places the organism in Eukaryota, Metazoa, Chordata, Mammalia, Scandentia, Tupaiidae.